This 35-nucleotide ribosomal RNA is filed under the name Bison bison bison. Lineage: Eukaryota; Metazoa; Chordata; Mammalia; Artiodactyla; Bovidae. The record is from RNAcentral.
AACGCGCCCUAUCUCAUCUGAUCUCGGAAGCUAAG